Molecule: ribosomal RNA, 484 nt
Filed under: uncultured bacterium
Lineage: Bacteria
Description: partial 16S ribosomal RNA
Rfam family: Bacterial small subunit ribosomal RNA
Source: RNAcentral
AUUGAACGCUGGCGGCAGGCCUAACACAUGCAAGUCGAGCGGAUGAAGGGAGCUUGCUCCUGGAUUCAGCGGCGGACGGGUGAGUAAUGCCUAGGAAUCUGCCUGGUAGUGGGGGAUAACGUCCGGAAACGGGCGCUAAUACCGCAUACGUCCUGAGGGAGAAAGUGGGGGAUCUUCGGACCUCACGCUAUCAGAUGAGCCUAGGUCGGAUUAGCUAGUUGGUGGGGUAAAGGCCUACCAAGGCGACGAUCCGUAACUGGUCUGAGAGGAUGAUCAGUCACACUGGAACAGAGACACGGUCCAGACUCCUACGGGAGGCAGCAGUGGGGAAUAUUGGACAAUGGGCGAAAGCCUGAUCCAGCCAUGCCGCGUGUGUGAAGAAGGUCUUCGGAUUGUAAAGCACUUUAAGUUGGGAGGAAGGGCAGUAAGUUAAUACCUUGCUGUUUUGACGUUACCAACAGAAUAAGCACCGGCUAACUUCGUG